RNAcentral lists this long non-coding RNA (217 nucleotides) under Phoenix dactylifera (date palm). RNAcentral's name for it is "long non-coding RNA (PDAC_LNC019250)". The record is from RNAcentral. Lineage: Eukaryota; Viridiplantae; Streptophyta; Magnoliopsida; Arecales; Arecaceae.
GGCAAUCUUCGGUCGAGGAGAGGGAACGACUGUUAGUCCUCACGGCGGGGCGGCGGUCUAUCGGCGGGCGGCGUCCUCCGUCCGGGGCGGUCGGAGAGAAGGAACAGCAGGUCCUCGCAGCGGGGCGGCGAUCCGUUGGCUGGCGGCGUCCUCCGUCCGGGUGCCUGCACACGAACCGGUGGCCGGGUUCUCCGGCGCCGGCCCUCCGACGCUCAAG